Molecule: RNase P RNA, 497 nt
Filed under: Patescibacteria group bacterium
Lineage: Bacteria
Description: RNase P RNA component class A
Rfam family: Bacterial RNase P class A
About the family: Ribonuclease P (RNase P) is a ubiquitous endoribonuclease, found in archaea, bacteria and eukarya as well as chloroplasts and mitochondria.
Source: RNAcentral
UGGGAAUAUCGGAUGAUUGCGUCCCACGGCGGAACUUGAUUCUGCCAAUACGGACGAGGAAAGUCCGAACACCCUUUGAAUCGCAAGAUUCAUUGACAAGAAAGUUGCUAACGGCAACCAGGCGAAUCUGGACUCGCAGAACUGGUCAUACUCGUUCUUUGAUUCCUGAUGAAGCCUAGGGAAAGUGCCACAGAGACAAUACUAACUCCCUCGGGAGUGAAAAGUGAAAAGUGAAGUGAUGUCGCAAGGCUACACUUCUCGCUCCAUGGUGACAUGGCAGCGUGGUAAACCCUUCCCGCCGCAUAGGCCUUCGGCCAAUGCAGGCGGGCCCGCCUAAUCCUGAGCGUAAAGCGAUGGAUGGCGUGGUCUGGUGCAAGAGCAAAUUUGGUAGCUCGCUCGAACCAGCUGGCAACAGUUGGUCUAGAUAGAUAAUCAUCUCCUCGGCGCUUAAAAAAAUGCCGAGCAGACAAAAUUCGGCUUACAGAUAUUUCCCGGUA